RNAcentral lists this small nuclear RNA (114 nucleotides) under Phascolarctos cinereus (koala). The record is from RNAcentral. Lineage: Eukaryota; Metazoa; Chordata; Mammalia; Diprotodontia; Phascolarctidae.
AUUCUGUGCUGCUCACUUCAGCAAAAUCUGUGCCGGAAGUAGGACAAUGCAGAGAAGAUUCACAUGGCCCCAGCCAAGGAUGAUGUGCAAAUUCACAAGACUUGCCAGAUUUUA